Paramisgurnus dabryanus is the source of this 1327-nucleotide long non-coding RNA. RefSeq lists it as uncharacterized. Lineage: Eukaryota; Metazoa; Chordata; Actinopteri; Cypriniformes; Cobitidae. The record is from RefSeq and is a predicted model, not a curated record.
CACAGGUGGAGACAUACGCACAUACGAAACGGCAAAAAAGACGUUAAAAUCUGGUUUAAGAGCAAAAAAACUACCUGUGCCAAUCAGUUUUUGCCAUUUAUGGGCUUUACCCUAUAAAAGAAAACCAUUUUAUGCAUUUAAAUGACCUUACACGUUAUCAGUUUAUUAAGCGUUUAGACUAUGUAGACACACUCACUGUGCACUAAAAUUAAAAAAAUUGGUUAACACGACCACUCGUAGUGGCUUCACUCAGAGGUUGGAGAAGACAACCGGUGGACUAAACAUCAAGCCUCUGCACGAUUCAGGUAAGUGGAAUAAAAUACAUUGUAAAUAAACAUUAUUAAAACAGAUUGUGAAGUCAUUCAUUCAAAACUUGCUAUGACCUAAGCCUAAAUGACUUAAUUUCUUUUUAGAAUUAAGACAACCUUAGCAGGAGAGCCCCAGCAGUAACUUUCUCUCAAGCAGAUGAGCAAUAAGUUGCUUUGUAUGAACACCACCCUAACAAUCAAGUAGCCUGUUAACAGUAGACCAAAGGUAUGAUGAUCAAUUAUAAAUGCAAUAUGGUUGAAAGCUUGACAAAAAUGUAGCUUGAAGGAGAAGGGACUGCUGAGUAACAAAGUCCUGGUAUGCAGACGACGAUACUAUUACACUGACAAGAGUGUAAUGAUGAUGGAGACACAAGCCAGAGAAAGGGGGGACCAAACACCAGGCCAGAAUUCUGCAUGAGUCAGAUCCAGUGGGUGCAGAUCAUCAUACAGAUGGUUCAAGUGUGGAUCCACCUAAUAUUCAAGAUUUUCUGUCCUGGGACACUCGGCUAACCAUCAAGAAAGAACACACUCCAGUGGGCAUCCUUUAUCCAUCCAGACCCUCAUACAGAUGGUUGGAGUUUUGAUUCACCUAAAGUACCAUGCAAGAGCACUCAUUUUCCCUCUUGAGACCAUGGUGUGACCUGCAAGGUCGAAUGGAGACUGUAAGCGAGACAAUCUUGGAGUCACCUGCAUUCACUGGUCCAGUUGUUAGUCCAAUUACAGAUGGAGAUUAUAGAAGAGGAUGAUGUCUUUUCUCCAACAUCUUUCUAGACUGAUAAAAGAUCUAGACAGGCUUGAACAAAAGUUAACAGACAGAGGGGCUUAUAUAGAGAAUGGUGAGCAGCUACACAUAAAAGAAGAACAUGGAGAAUCUGCCCAGAGGUGUUAACCAGCAAUGCAGCUAUACAACUAAAGUGAUGCAGGCGGAAACAAUAAUGCAGCUGCUGCAGAUGAAGAAUCCGUCCGUCUACCACUGAAGGAGACACGGAAAAUCGGGAAAAGAUGUUCUUUGCCCGAGG